Molecule: ribosomal RNA, 255 nt
Filed under: uncultured bacterium
Lineage: Bacteria
Description: partial 16S ribosomal RNA
Rfam family: Bacterial small subunit ribosomal RNA
Source: RNAcentral
UACGUAGGGUGCGAGCGUUGUCCGGAAUUAUUGGGCGUAAAGAGCUUGUAGGCGGUUUGUCGCGUCUGCCGUGAAAAUCCGGGGCUCAACCCCGGACUUGCGGUGGGUACGGGCAGACUAGAGUGUGGUAGGGGAGACUGGAAUUCCUGGUGUAGCGGUGAAAUGCGCAGAUAUCAGGAGGAACACCGAUGGCGAAGGCAGGUCUCUGGGCAUUAACUGACGCUGAGGAGCGAAAAGCAUGGGGGAGCGAACAGG